This is a long non-coding RNA of Triplophysa rosa, 3280 nucleotides long. RefSeq lists it as uncharacterized. The transcript is spliced from 3 exons. Lineage: Eukaryota; Metazoa; Chordata; Actinopteri; Cypriniformes; Nemacheilidae. The record is from RefSeq and is a predicted model, not a curated record.
UUCUCAGAACAAUAAACACACUCGCACAAAAAAAAAGGCUGAUUAUGGAUUUCGUAGUCAUCACACCUGUAUUGAUUCUCGGUGUCUUUUGAUGUGUUGGAAGAAGAUAAUGCGGACUGUAUCAGACAGGAUGUCCUUCGUCUCCGUGUUAUUUGUGUCGACGUCCGUGAUGGAGGGCUUCCAUUGAGGCUUUGACACAAGAUCCUGACAGCCACAGCGAUCGGUGCAUUGAUCUAAUCAUUAACAAGAGACUCUCAGAGAAAGAACGAGAGAGACGUCGUAGACAACGCUUAUCUUUCUACUGUGGAGAGGCAGGCCAUCGUAGUCUGGGAUGUCCGCACAAAUCUCAAGUCAACCCCAGGCGAUGAUUGACUCUGGUGCCGCUUUGAAUUUAAUUAGUAAAGACAUUGUCACUAAAUAUAACAUCCCUACUCAACCAUGCGACCCUCCAAUUAAGAUUAAAACCAUUGAUGACAACCCUAUUGGGGAAGGGAUAACCCAUCAAACCAAAACUCUUGUUUUCAAAGUAGGACUGCUACAUCAAGAGUCUAUCACACUAUACAUUGUAGACUCACCCAAGCAGGAGAUCAUCCUAGGUUUUCCCGGGCUCUCUGCUCAUGACCCUGUCAUCUCUUGGCAUCAUGGUGAACUCACACAUGGGUCCUCUUUCUGCCUAAAGAACUGUUUUCCCACAAUCCCAAAACCAUGUCUAUCCACGAGUAUAGAAAGCCCAAGGACCAACACCACCAUGAACAUUCCCACAUGUUACAACGACCUCUCUGAAGUGUUCAGUAAAACCAAAGCCACACAAUUACCACCACACCGGUCCUGGGAUUGUGCCAUUGAUCUGCUUCCCAAUGCUAUGCUCCCUAAAAGUAAGAUUUAUCCAUUGUCCAGGAAUGAAAGUCAAGCCAUGGAAGAGUAUGUUGAGGAGGCAUUAAACUCUGGUUUCAUUCGCACAUCCACAUCACCCGCUGCUGCAGGAUUUUUUUUGUUGAGAAAAAGGACGGAGGACUUCGACCAUGUAUUGAUUACAGAAAACUCAACAACGUCACUGUGAAAUUUCGUUACCCACUGCCCUUAGUUCCUUCAGCCCUCGAACAGUUAUGAGAAGCCACUAUCUACACUAAACUAGACUUAAGAAGUGCAUAUAAUCUGAUUUGAAUUAAGGAAGGUGAUGAAUGGGAAAACAGCUUUUAUCACUGAGCCACCCACCCAUUCCAAGUUAUCACAGAUCACAAGAACCUAGAAUACGUGAAGAGUGCUAAACGUUUAAAUCCACGCCAAGCCAGGUGGUCAUUGUUCUUCAGUCGUUUCCAAUUCACCGUAACGUACAGACCAGGCAGCAAGAACAGCAAAGCAGAUGCUCUGUCCAGGCAAUAUGAUUCCAUUCACAAACACCAUACAUCAGAACCUAUCCUUCCUCCAUCUGUCAUCUUAGCUCCGAUAUCCUGGGACAUUAUGGAAGAGUUACAACGUGAACAACAGAAUGAACCUUCCCUUGCCCAAUGCCCCCCCAACAAACACUAUGUGCCUCAAUGUUUACGACAACGUAUCAUGCAGUGGACCCACACAUCUCUCAGUGCCAGUCACCCUGGAAUUUCCCGUACCAUCAAGCUAGUCCAAAAUUCCUUUUGGUGGCCAGCAAUGACAAAAGAGAUUAUGACCUACGUGAAGUCAUGCCAAGUCUGUGCCCAGUCUAAAACCCCUAAGGAACUACCUUCAGGCCUUCUACAACCUUUACCCAUUCCUCAACGCCCAUGGUCUCAUCUGUCCAUAGACUUUGUCACCGAUCUUCCCCCAUCAGAGAACUUUACUACUAUUCUAGAAACCAUUGAUCGCUUCUGAAAGUCCUGCCACCUUGUACCAUUAAAAAGAUUACCCACCGCCAUGGAAACAGUUCAAGCUUUAUUCCAUAAUGUAUUCAGAGUUUAUGGUCUUCCAGAAGACAUCGUCAGCGAUCGGGGAACUCAAUUUACUUCUCAAGUCUGGAGAGCUUUUUGCAAACAGCUCGAUAUCAAUGUGAGCCUUACUUCAGGAUAUCACCCUCAAGCCAAUGGCCAAGUAGAACGUCUGAAUCAGGAGAUUGGCAGAUAUCUAAGAACUUAUUGCAGUCGAGAGCAACAUAGAUGGUCAGAGUUUCUCCCGUGGGCUGAGUACGCUCAGCAUUCCCUUACCCACUCUUCAACUGGCAUCACCCCCUUCCAAUGUGUCCUAGGAUUUCAACCUCCCUUAUUCCCGUGGUCUGGCGAACCCUCUUCAGUACCAUCUGUGGAGGAUUGGAUUCUUCGUAGUGAGAGGGUGUGGGACAGUGCCCACAUCCGUCUGCAGCGAGCCAUAAGGAGACAAGAACUUCAGGCCAACAAGCGGCAUCAUCCACAUCCUCCCUACCAACCAGGGCAAUGGGUCUGGCUCUCGACGAGGGACAUCAAACUUCGACUACCCAGCAAGAAGCUUAGUCCAAGGUAUGUUGGGCCACUUAAAAUUCUUGAGAAUUAAUGGUCACAUACAAAUUGGCGCUUCCUACUAAUUACCGUAUUUCUCCCUCCUUCCAUGUCUCCCUCUUGAAACCGGUCCACCUGGAUGCUGACCCCGGCCACGAGGCCCCAGAACCACCACCACCAUUAGAUAUAGACGGGGCCCCGCCUAUCAGGUGAAAGAGUUGCUGGACUCAAGACGAAGAGGGGGUGAGAUCCAAUAUUUGGUGGACUGGGAGGGUUAUGGACCCGAGGAGAGAUCAUGGGUGAACACCCGCGAUAUUCUGGACCCUUCCCUUAUCGAGGACUUUCAUCAAGCCAGACCCGAUUGCCCAGCACCAUGAGGACGUUCACAUCGAGCUCCAGGAGUCGCUCAUAGGGAGGGGGAUUCUGUAACGCCCAGCCAGCAGAGGGAGCUGUCACCCGAGUACUGACUCCGUUCCACCCCUCUGCUGCCUCUGCAUUCACUUCCUGUUUGGUGACUAUUUAGUCUGGGACCACAUGGGAUCUCAUUGCGAAGUAUUGCCAGUAUAUCUGCCUUACCAAGCGUAUCCCUGUAUUCUCUGCCUGUUUUGUGUGUAUGAUUCUGCCUGGAUAUCUAUUCUCUGAUUACCCCUUUGUUUUGGUUGCAUGGUUGGACUGAUAUUUCUGGAUUUGACUCACUGCCUGCUUAAUCACCUUUGCCUUUGGAUUAACCUCAUGUUUGUUGUACGUCGGACAGUCAUCUUGGUAUUGACCCUUUGCCUGUCUACUCAACUCUGUUUAUGCUACUCAUCUAAUAAACUACCGCACAUGGAUUCUAA